Molecule: ribosomal RNA, 494 nt
Filed under: Flavobacterium sp. LACB-4
Lineage: Bacteria; Pseudomonadati; Bacteroidota; Flavobacteriia; Flavobacteriales; Flavobacteriaceae
Description: bacterial SSU rRNA
Rfam family: Bacterial small subunit ribosomal RNA
Source: RNAcentral
GGGCGCAAGCUGAACCAGCCAUGCCGCGUGCAGGAUGACGGUCCUAUGGAUUGUAAACUGCUUUUGUACGAGAAGAAACAACAUUACGUGUAAUGUCUUGACGGUAUCGUAAGAAUAAGGAUCGGCUAACUCCGUGCCAGCAGCCGCGGUAAUACGGAGGAUCCAAGCGUUAUCCGGAAUCAUUGGGUUUAAAGGGUCCGUAGGCGGUUUAGUAAGUCAGUGGUGAAAGCCCAUCGCUCAACGGUGGAACGGCCAUUGAUACUGCUGAACUUGAAUUAUUAGGAAGUAACUAGAAUAUGUAGUGUAGCGGUGAAAUGCUUAGAGAUUACAUGGAAUACCAAUUGCGAAGGCAGGUUACUACUAAUGGAUUGACGCUGAUGGACGAAAGCGUGGGUAGCGAACAGGAUUAGAUACCCUGGUAGUCCACGCCGUAAACGAUGGAUACUAGCUGUUGGGAGCAAUUUCAGUGGCUAAGCGAAAGUGAUAAGUAUCCC